CCUACGGGAGGCUGCAGUGAGGAAUAUUGGUCAAUGGACGAGAGUCUGAACCAGCCAAGUAGCGUGAAGGAUGACUGCCCUAUGGGUUGUAAACUUCUUUUAUAUGGGAAUAAAAUGUUCCACGUGUGGGAUUUUGUAUGUACCAUAUGAAUAAGGAUCGGCUAACUCCGUGCCAGCAGCCGCGGUAAUACGGAGGAACCGAGCGUUAUCCGGAUUUAUUGGGUUUAAAGGGAGCGUAGGCGGAUUGUUAAGUCAGUUGUGAAAGUUUGCGGCUCAACCGUAAAAUUGCAGUUGAAACUGGCAGUCUUGAGUACAGUAGAGGUGGGCGGAAGGCGUGGUGUAGCGGUGAAAUGCUUAGAUAUCACGAAGAACUCCGAUUGCGAAGGCAGUUCACUGGACUGCAACUGACACUGAGGCUCGAAAGUGUGGGUAUCAAACAGGAUUAGAUACCCUGGUAGUC
RNAcentral lists this ribosomal RNA (460 nucleotides) under uncultured bacterium. RNAcentral's name for it is "partial 16S ribosomal RNA". It matches the Rfam family "Bacterial small subunit ribosomal RNA", at positions 338 to 795 of the family's 1533-position model. The record is from RNAcentral.